ACGGGUGAGUAACACGUAGGAACCUGUCUUCUAGAGGGGGACAACCAAGGGAAACUUUGGCUAAUACCGCGUAAUCUCGAGAGAGUGAAGCUGCAGCAAUGUAGCGCUAGAAGAGGGGCCUGCGUCCGAUUAGCUAGUUGGUGAGGUAAUGGCUUACCAAGGCGAUGAUCGGUAACUGGUCUGAGAGGACGACCAGUCACACUGGGACUGAGACACGGCCCAGACUCCUACGGGAGGCAGCAGUGGGGAAUCUUGGACAAUGGGGGCAACCCUGAUCCAGCGAUGCCGCGUGAGUGAAGAAGGCCUUCGGGUCGUAAAGCUCUUUAGGCUGGGAAGAAGUGUGUUGGAGGAAAUGCCAAUACAUUGACUGUACCAGCAGAAUAAGCACCGGCAAACUCUGUGCCAGCAGCCGCGGUAAUACAGAGGGUGCGAGCGUUAAUCGGAGUUACUGGGCGUAAAGGGCGCGUAGGCGGUUGUGUGUGAGUGAUGUGAAAGCCCCGGGCUUAACCUGGGAAGUGCAUCGCUAACUGCAUAACUUGAGUAGGUGAGAGGGUAGCGGAAUUUCCGGUGUAGCGGUG
This 578-nucleotide ribosomal RNA is filed under the name uncultured bacterium. Its description in RNAcentral is "bacterial SSU rRNA". It matches the Rfam family "Bacterial small subunit ribosomal RNA", at positions 102 to 683 of the family's 1533-position model. The record is from RNAcentral.